Molecule: ribosomal RNA, 449 nt
Filed under: uncultured bacterium
Lineage: Bacteria
Description: bacterial SSU rRNA
Rfam family: Bacterial small subunit ribosomal RNA
Source: RNAcentral
GAUGAACGCUGGCGGCGUGCUUAACACAUGCAAGUCGAACGGGAAUUACUUUAUUGAAACUUCGGUCGAUUUAAUUUAAUUCUAGUGGCGGACGGGUGAGUAACGCGUGGGUAACCUGCCUUAUACAGGGGGAUAACAGUCAGAAAUGGCUGCUAAUACCGCAUAAGCGCACAGAGCUGCAUGGCUCAGUGUGAAAAACUCCGGUGGUAUAAGAUGGACCCGCGUUGGAUUAGCUUGUUGGUGGGGUAACGGCCCACCAAGGCGACGAUCCAUAGCCGGCCUGAGAGGGUGAACGGCCACAUUGGGACUGAGACACGGCCCAGACUCCUACGGGAGGCAGCAGUGGGGAAUAUUGCACAAUGGGGGAAACCCUGAUGCAGCGACGCCGCGUGAAGGAAGAAGUAUCUCGGUAUGUAAACUUCUAUCAGCAGGGAAGAUAGUGACGGUAC